CUCGCGCCGCGCAUGCGCGCUGGAGCUGCUGCGGUCCUGCCCCUCUGGUCAAGUCAGAGGCGGGUCUUGCAGCCCUGACGCUUUGGUUAUGCGGAGGGUGGUUUUGUGCAGGUGACAGCUUUUCGGUGCUUUUCGGUGUGAUUUGCAGGAAAUUCUCCCACCAGAGACCCGUGUUAUGCCUGGCAUACAGGAGGCAUUCAGAACAUUUGAUGACUAGAAGUGUGUGUCUAUCUCAAUGACACAGGUCUCUAAAACCCUUGCUGACAGUGUUUGGACCAAGAGGCUGGCAGCUAUGAUGGGAGCUCUGGUAGAAGUUGCUCCGUAUAUAAAAGGAAGAAAAGAAUGUUUGCCUUACUCACUUCAGAGUCUCGUCCUGAGAACCUUAAACGUGAAAGUACAUUUGCAAACUAUAAAGCCUUCCUUAACUGCAUGGUUUUCUUAUUAAGAGGCCCUCCUACCUCCCUACCUGAGGGAACCUUUAACAGAACCCCCCUCCUCCCCCACCCAUCACGGGCACUUCUGCUCUGUUUAGAGAAACACAUUUUAUGGCGGCACAGAUACAGACGUGGAUCACAGGGUCACUGCUAUGUUUCCAUUACAAACACACAGGCUUCAGGCUUCAGCCCUUUCCACAUGCUGAACUUCAUCGGAGUCCCAUGUGUUGAGAGCCUUCUGGAAGAGACCCAACAAUUACAGAGGAGUGCACCAUACAGACUUGGCCUGAAUGUAAUUUCAGCCUGAACUUUCUGGGGAUUGUUAUGGGGUCCCAUCCUGCAGUCUUUCAACAUGAGAAACUCUCCUGGGCAUGGAAGGUUUGGAAAAUCUUCAGGAUUGAAGAGUAUUGCCUCUAGGAUUGAACAUCACGGAGGACCCUGUAACCAGAAUGGACCUUCAGUCUCAUUUCAUGAGGCUGCUGCUUUUCUGGGUCUGUGUGGCCUUCUACUUGAAAUAAAUAAGCAAAGGAUAUAGUUUUAAGUGCAGUGGUUUUCACACUCCUAGGACUGAUUUUUCCUUUGCUUUCCCAGGUUGAUGGUAAUAGAUGAAACGGAUCCAAAUGGAUUUUGCAGAGAUAGUCAAAAAGGCAUGCCAACUUGGCUUCUUGUGUACAGUAAGUACAGUAUAAGGUAGCUGCCAGAUAGAGAAGAGAGGACCCCAAGUCAAUUACUGAUUGCUUUAGCUCCUCCUUAAGGUCAACAAACCACAGCUGCAUGUGUUCCAGCAUCUAGAAUGUGACCCUGGAGAAUUAGGGGCACAGUACACAAUAUUCUGUCAAAGUGGGGGUGUCAGCCCUGGUGUAGAAUGAAUAGUGGAACCAGGGCUCUAAUGUACAUGUCAGAUUUCCAUGGAUCUCUCUCUUUUGUCACAUUGUUGUCCAUGUCUUUAUGUGGUGACAUUGCAGAGUGGACUCACAGACCCAGGGAAAGGCUGGGAAUGAAAGUGAAGUCAGUGAUAUUUAUUAUCUUGUGGUGAUCCCAGUGCUGUCAUUACACUGAUUGUCAGCACAGAGAGGCUGAUACCAGGGUCCCCAGUCCACCCGCUGCCUUAUGGUAUUGUCCAUCCAUCUUUUCAUGGUGCUUACUGUUCCUUGGAAAGUGUCUCUGCACAUUCUAGGCACUCUUUUUUCUUUGUUUUUAAUAAAAUCAGGUUCUCCUUUAAAAAAGCAGUAAGCCAAUAAUUUCCAUGGAAAAAUGAGGCAAUUACAUUUAAGCAUAAUCCUCAGAGAAGCACAAGGCACCUGAAUUUGGGAGUUUAUCGAGAGACCCUCGAUUCAGGCAGGAGUGAAUAGGUAACUCAAUUCCAUAGGCCAAAAUUUGGUAAAAUUUCUGUUUGGGACCAGGGCAAGAUAGUAACUAUUUUUGGCUCUGCGGGCCAUAAUGCGUCUCUGUAGCAAUGCUUACCUCUCCAUUGUGGCAUAAAAGCAGCAUAAACAAUGCUCAAACAAAUGGGCAUGGUUCUGUCCCAAUAAAACUUUAUUUACAGAAAUAGGCAGAGGGCCAGAUUUAGAUUUGGUCCUCAAGCCAUAGCUUAGGGAUUCCUGUUAUAAAUAGCUGUGCACUAUAAUACAGGUGUGGACAAUAAAGAAUUCAACUGACAGUAAUUAGUGCCUAUUGUGUGUUGCUGUAGAUAUAAAAAUGAAUUAAGACCCAGUUUUAUGCAUAUACAUUAUCUUUUCCUGGCAUCUGGCAGGGUGGGAUCUGGUCAUCUCUAUGGCAGUGUAUUUCCCCAGAGUGGUGGAUGUUCAUUGCUGCCCAUCUCCAGUGCCCAUGUCCCAUACUAUAUUCACUUUCCGUGCCUUGAGGGCAGAAAAUGGUGGUUUCAUCCCUAUAACAGAUACCAGACUUAUAUUUAGCUUCCGUUCACACUGUGUGAGACAUUCUCACAUGCCUUGUCUUUGAUCUUCAAAAACACUCCAGUGAAGUAAGCUCCAUUAUUCCUAGUUUUCAAACGGGACAAUAUGGAUUCAGAGAAGUUAAGUUAUAUCCUCCGUGAAUUCUACACUGGUUGGUACUGGAGCCAGGAUCCAAUGCAGACCGCAAGAACAUUACCACAGUUGUCCUACAUGGCAGAUUCUCUUGAGCAUAAAUAGUUUAUUUUGAACAAGAGGGGAAAAAAAGAUAGAAAACAUCUUGAAUCCAAAAAUGGGAGCUGAGAUGAGGACAACUGGGUGUCCAAGACCACUUUUAGGGUGGGUUUUUGUUUUGUUUUGUUUUGCUUUGCUUUGUUUUAACAUUAACAUUGUGGCUAUGUGCUGGAAUAGGACAUGCAUUCUUCAUUCUUUUUUCAUUACACGAGAAUUGUUGCAAUCAUUAUGCAAAACCAAUAAAGGGAAAACUUUUCAAAAAAAAAAUGUCAUUUGGCAAGAAAUGCCCAGUUGAGGAACAGCACAGGUCUCACGGGAGAACAAUAUGCAUUUUGUAAAAUUUCUUAAAAGACAAUUUAUGGUUUUGAGAAAACAAAACAGGAAAUUGAAUUAAAAGGAGAAACAUAUUUAAAUAAUGCUCAAGUGAUGACAUAACUAACCAAAGUCCAACAAUCACAACCUAGAGUCAGGCAUUGUUGGCUGCAAGACUUUUCUGGCAUUGGUUGGUAGGGUCCUUAAGUGAAGAGAGAUGUUGUACUAUUUAAUUGGUACUGCAUCGCAGCUUUUGAAUAGAUGAAAACUCAUUUCUUAAACUGGGAAUUUAGCCCUAACUACAAGACUUCUGUCAUAUAUUUCCUGAAAACAAUGCACUAUGACCUUCCUUCUUACAUCAUAAAUUUUGAUGCCUAUCUCUGGAUUGGCAGAGUUUUGCCCUGGGGUGAAUUUGGAGUAGAUCAAAUAGGUGUUCUCUUUUCCUAUAACACUAUGCUCAAUACCUCUUGGAAAGUUAAGGAUUAAAAUCAAACAAACAAACAAAAAACAUCCAUUACAAGGAAGCAGAAUUUCUAUCAGAAAGAAAGAAUAUCAGGAGUCAUUUGUUACUAUCAGUACUAAAUACACACACACACACACACACACACACACAUUUUUUUUCCUAGUAAAGAAAGUAUUUUAAGAAGAGAAAGUUGAUUCCUAAUUCAAAACAGUAUACUACAUCCGCAACCUUCUAUUAAUUUUUAUUUGGUUUUUCUAGACUCUUGAUGAGCAGAGGGUAAAGGGGAGAAACUAUCGACACUUAUGUAAGUUUAAAUUAUGAGUCUUGAUUCAGCCAUUUCUGAAGGAAGGUCCUUUACCUUUAUUAAUUAUAACAUAAUACUAUUACAUAUGAAGAUACAGAUUUUUACAUUUUCAAUCUUAUUUUCUCUAUUCUACAAGUUAACUGUAUGAGGUAGGUCACAGUGUAGCCUCUAUUUUAUAGGGAGGAUUAUUAUUAUUAAUUAUUAUUAUUAUUAUUAUUAUCAUCACUGUUAUUAUUUUUGCAUAGCUAAGUUCUUAACCACUACCCUAAUCUGCCUUAAAUGGGGAUCAAAAAUCUGUACAGUCAAUGAAGUAUGAUGACAAUGUAAUUGACUCAGUCUCAGCAAAAAAUAUUUCAUGACUUGCUUGAUUCCAUUAUUUUGUUGUAAUGAGGUUGGUUUAUAAACAACACAUGUAAAUUUCCCUGUUCAGCCCAUUUUGUGCUGAAUGGCACACAUCUUUGGAACGCCUGGCCAGGUUCAGCAGUUCAGCUGAAUACAGCUAACCACAUCACAUGGUUACUAAGCCACUCACCAUCCAGGAAGUCUGCUAACUUUCUUUCUUAUCUAGCAGAAAUGAAAUCCAUUACAGCAAGAUUAUAUAUAUAUAUAUAUAUAUAUAUAUAUAUAUAUAUAUAUAUAUAUAUCCUUUUGUAUCACCAGCACCUGGCAUACAGUAAAUAGUUUUUUUUUUUUUAAAGUCAGCUA
This 4365-nucleotide long non-coding RNA is filed under the name Canis lupus familiaris (dog). RNAcentral describes it as "lncRNA (ENSCAFG00845028299.1)". Lineage: Eukaryota; Metazoa; Chordata; Mammalia; Carnivora; Canidae. The record is from RNAcentral.